RNAcentral lists this ribosomal RNA (500 nucleotides) under uncultured bacterium. RNAcentral's name for it is "partial 16S ribosomal RNA". It matches the Rfam family "Bacterial small subunit ribosomal RNA", at positions 30 to 523 of the family's 1533-position model. The record is from RNAcentral.
AUUGAACGCUGGCGGAAUGCUUUACACAUGCAAGUCGAACGAUGAACCUUAGCUUGCUAAGGGGAUUAGUGGCGAACGGGUGAGUAAUAUAUCGGAACGUACCUUGUAAUGGGGGAUAACUAGUCGAAAGAUUAGCUAAUACCGCAUACGCCCUGAGGGGGAAAGUAGGGGAUCUUCGGACCUUACGUUAUAAGAGCGGCCGAUAUCUGAUUAGCUAGUUGGUGGGGUAAUGGCCUACCAAGGCGACGAUCAGUAGCUGGUCUGAGAGGACGACCAGCCACACUGGAACUGAGACACGGUCCAGACUCCUACGGGAGGCAGCAGUGGGGAAUUUUGGACAAUGGGCGCAAGCCUGAUCCAGCCAUUCCGCGUGAGUGAAGAAGGCCUUCGGGUUGUAAAGCUCUUUCGCAAGGGAAGAAGACUUACAUUCUAAUAAAGUGUGAGGCUGACGGUACCUUGAUAAGAAGCACCGGCUAACUACGUGCCAGCCGCCGCCGUAA